RNAcentral lists this ribosomal RNA (306 nucleotides) under uncultured bacterium. RNAcentral describes it as "partial 16S ribosomal RNA". It matches the Rfam family "Bacterial small subunit ribosomal RNA", at positions 507 to 808 of the family's 1533-position model. The record is from RNAcentral.
GACAGCAGCCGCCGGGGAAAACAGAGGGUGCGAGCGUUAAUCGGAUUUACUGGGCGUAAAGCGUGCGUAGGCGGCUUUUUAAGUCGGAUGUGAAAUCCCUGAGCUUAACUUAGGAAUUGCAUUCGAUACUGGGAAGCUAGAGUAUGGGAGAGGAUGGUAGAAUUCCAGGUGUAGCGGUGAAAUGCGUAGAGAUCUGGAGGAAUACCGAUGGCGAAGGCAGCCAUCUGGCCUAAUACUGACGCUGAGGUACGAAAGCAUGGGGAGCAAACAGGAUUAGAUACCCCCGUAGUCCCUGUCUCUUAUACA